Molecule: ribosomal RNA, 452 nt
Filed under: uncultured bacterium
Lineage: Bacteria
Description: bacterial SSU rRNA
Rfam family: Bacterial small subunit ribosomal RNA
Source: RNAcentral
AACGAACGCUGGCGGCAUGCCUAAUACAUGCAAGUCGAACGAACACUUCGGUGUUAGUGGCGCACGGGUGCGUAACGCGUGGGAAUCUGCCCUUGGGUUCGGAAUAACAGUUAGAAAUGACUGCUAAUACCGGAUGAUGACGUAAGUCCAAAGAUUUAUCGCCCAAGGAUGAGCCCGCGUAGGAUUAGCUAGUUGGUGAGGUAAAGGCUCACCAAGGCUACGAUCCUUAGCUGGUCUGAGAGGAUGAUCAGCCACACUGGGACUGAGACACGGCCCAGACUCCUACGGGAGGCAGCAGUAGGGAAUAUUGGACAAUGGGCGAAAGCCUGAUCCAGCAAUGCCGCGUGAGCGAUGAAGGCCUUAGGGUUGUAAAGCUCUUUUACCCGGGAUGAUAAUGACAGUACCGGGAGAAUAAGCCCCGGCUAACUCCGUGCCAGCCGCCGCUGUAACAC